GGCCCAAUGGUCUAGACGUAUGAUACACGCUUCGGGAUUCCCCAUUACGCUUACGUAAUACAAUGUGUGUGGUCCCGGGUUCAAUUCCCGGUUGGGCCC
Non-coding RNA from Mycena haematopus, 99 nucleotides. NCBI's taxonomy places the organism in Eukaryota, Fungi, Basidiomycota, Agaricomycetes, Agaricales, Mycenaceae. The record is from the annotation of a GenBank genome assembly.